UAAUGGUUCAGGGCGUUAUCGGAAGUGA
This 28-nucleotide small RNA is filed under the name Bombyx mori (domestic silkworm). RNAcentral describes it as "ovarian small RNA-2913". The record is from RNAcentral. Lineage: Eukaryota; Metazoa; Arthropoda; Insecta; Lepidoptera; Bombycidae.